AGCGAACGCUGGCGGCAGGCCUAACACAUGCAAGUCGAACGAACCUUUCGGGGUUAGUGGCGGACGGGUGAGUAACACGUGGGAACGUGCCUUUAGGUUCGGAAUCACUCAGGGAGACUUGUGCUAAUACCGAAUGUGCUCUUCGGGGGUAAGAUUACUCGCCUUUAGGGCGGCCCGCGUCUGAUUAGCUAGUUGGUUGAGGUAAUGGCUCACCAAGGCGACGAUCAGUAGCUGGUCUGAGAGGAUGAUCAGCCACAUUGGGACUGAGACACGGCCCAAACUCCUACGGGAGGCAGCAGUGGGGAAUCUUGCGCAAUGGGCGAAAGCCUGACGCAGCCAUGCCGCGUGAAUGAUGAAGGUCUUAGGAUUGUAAAAUUCUUUCACCGGUGACGAUAAUGACGGUACCCGGAGAAGAAGCCCCGGCUAACUUCGUG
This 434-nucleotide ribosomal RNA is filed under the name uncultured bacterium. Its description in RNAcentral is "partial 16S ribosomal RNA". It matches the Rfam family "Bacterial small subunit ribosomal RNA", at positions 29 to 507 of the family's 1533-position model. The record is from RNAcentral.